GUGCCAGCCGCCGCGGUAAUUCCAGCUCCAAUAGCGUAUAUUAAAGUUGUUGCAGUUAAAAAGCUCGUAGUUGAAACUUGGGCCUGGCUGGCGGGUCCGCCUCACCGCGUGCACUCGUCCGGCCGGGCCUUCCUUCUGAAGAACCUCAUGCCCUUCACUGGGCGUGCUGGGGAAUCAGGACUUUUACUUUGAAAAAAUUAGAGUGUUCAAAGCAGGCCUUUGCUCGAAUACGUUAGCAUGGAAUAAUAAAAUAGGGCGUGCGUUUCUAUUUUGUUGGUUUCUAGAGACGCCGCAAUGAUUAACAGGAACAGUCGGGGGCAUCAGUAUUCAGUUGUCAGAGGUGAAAUUCUUGGAUUUACUGAAGACUAACUACUGCGAAAGCAUUUGCCAAGGAUGUUUUCAUUAAUCAGUGAACGAAAGCUAGGGGAUCGAAGACGAUCAGAUACCGUCGUAGUCUUAACCGUAAACUAUGCCGACUAGGGAUCGGGCGAUGUUCUUUUUCUGACUCGCUCGGCACCUUACGAGAAAUCAAAGUUUUUGGGUUCUGGGGGGAUUAUGGUCGCAAGGCUGAAACUUAAAGAAAUUGACGGAAGGUCACCACCAGGCGUGGAGCCUGCGGCUUAAUUUGACUCAACACGGGGAAACUCACCAGGUCCAGAUGAAAUAAGGAUUGACAGAUUGAGAGCUCUUUCUUGAUUUUUCAGGUGGUGUGCAUGGCCGUUCUUAGUUCGUGGGGUGACUUGUCUGCUUAAUUGCGAUAACGAGCGAAGACCUUACUCUGCUAAAUAAG
Molecule: ribosomal RNA, 790 nt
Filed under: uncultured fungus
Lineage: Eukaryota; Fungi
Description: SSU rRNA
Rfam family: Eukaryotic small subunit ribosomal RNA
Source: RNAcentral